Non-coding RNA from Manis javanica (Malayan pangolin), 5132 nucleotides. Lineage: Eukaryota; Metazoa; Chordata; Mammalia; Pholidota; Manidae. The record is from RefSeq and is a predicted model, not a curated record.
AUAUAUAUUUAUGAAGUGCCGGUAAAUCUGAUGAAUGUACAAUCACAUUAUUUAUCAGUACAGCUGUAUCCCAGGACUCAGUGAGUGGAGAAAAUUUUUAAAUAAUUAGAAAAUGAAGGAGAGCUGUUUAUGAUGAUAACAGAACUGCAGGAAAGGUGGACUUAGCACGGUUUUAGAUACUUGGAAAACAUCGCAGUGGCAAUAGUAGAAAUAAGGAAGUAAAGAUGGUGAAGAUCAGGCUGCAGAAAGUGAGGCUAGAGCCAAUCAAAUAAUGAAAACAUAGGAAUAAGUGGGCACGAAGAAGCAGAGGACAGACUGGUGAGAAACCUAGGGACAAGCACUGAAAGACUGAUGAGGAAAACAGACUCUGGGCAUUGUUACCAUGUGACAGAUUUGCAACUUAAGUAAGAAGACAGGAUAAGGCUGAUAAAAACAGAUCUGCUUCCAAUUUUUCUAUAUAUUCAUUACAUAUGGCUUGGGCUAGAAGAGUUUAUCAUUCUGUUCAUACAGAAUUUGUAUGAAUGGCUUCAUCAAAGAGCAGGGGCCGAAGACUCUGAAGAAGGGCUUGUUAUUUACAGCUGGAUGGAAGAAGAGCCAGACAGGUUCAACACGGAAUCAUUGUGCAGUUGGAAGCCAGGGCCGUUUGGUACUCUCACAUUUCAGUGAGUAAGAAAGGGUAGAAAGCUGUAUCUCCAGGAAAAGUUCCAAAUGCCACAUGCCGGAAGACUGGCGAAAGGGGAUUUUCCCUUCUAAGGUGACCUUUUCCUGACGAGGGAAGGCAUAAUCUGAGAAGAGGUAAGGAAGUUCAAGGAAGGUGAAACGAAGGUCAAAUUUUGAAAACGAAAGAUAAUUCUGGGGCCAGAUGGCUACAAAAAGAGAAAAAGGGAUGAUUCAGAGUCAUGUGGAAAAAAAAGGAGGAACACAAAGGAAGACUGCUCACUGAGGUUUGGCAUAAGGAUUGCGAUGCAGGAAAAUACUGAAAAAAAGAUGCUGGGAACAAGUUUGUAAGUAGUUCCAUUGAGGGGCAACGGGGAGUUUGUUGGAAAUGGGAAAGAGCCGUAAUAGACUAUGUGAACAUGCAUUUUUUUUUAAUCUAGAAAGAAAAUAAAAAGAAAACUCUUCAAGCCUAAGGUAGGAUAUAAAAGUGCUUUGAAUCAUUCUAUAUAAAGGUAAGUUAUUAUUAUAGACUGUUUAGUUGAACAUUUCCUAACAAAGAACAACCAAUCCAGGAUUUAAAGAGUAAGACUGCAUAGUCUGAAAGAAGAAUUAGGUUCGACUGUAAAGGAACCAGUUGAUGGUAGCUAACCAAGAACUCUUGAUCCUUCUGAAAAAUUUCAAUGACAUGACUGUAAGGUUUGCCAGCUUCCUACUGUUCUCUGGUUGACCAGCUGUUGCAGGCUUGCAAUAAAGAAAUCUGAGCUUACGUAAGAGUUUAUGAGAAAACAGGUGGGAGAGAGAUGCCACUGCCCAGACCAGAGGCAGGCAACUUUUCGGAAGUGGAAUGCCAAGUGGCUGGCUGACCGUGGCUCUUCAGGUCAGUGGUGAGGGGUGGGGCCCUGAGGGGUGAGGAUACUGGUAAGUAUCCUUCUAAUAGCACCUCAAUCUCCUGUUCAAAAUGUGCUCUCAAGCUUUCAUAUUCUGUUUCCAUCUUCCUUCCGACCCUUGUUUCCUAAGGUAAAUCCUGUUAGGGAAAGCUAAAUCCAUCUGGCCUUCACCUGUCUGGGUAGCUACAUCAGGUUACUCUCUCUAGAGCCAAAGCCGAGAGCAUUUGUCCUGCCUAGACUGCAAGGAUUUCCCCGGGAAACUGAGGAAGUGGACACCAUCAAGGAUGGUGCAUUUGAAGAGAGGACAAAACCUAGGCCAGUAGAUAGUGGGAUAUGAGGAUCAUAGGACGCAGGGAGAGAAGGCACAGAAAGUGAGGGAAGCAUAGAGACAGGAGGUGAGGGGGAAAAACCUGUUUGCAACGAAGACAAGCCCCAGGGGUGGUAAACGCUCUGGAUUUACUAUGAAGUGACCUUGGGAGAAACCUGAAGCCAAAGACCAAAGACCAUGGUUUGCCAAUGUGUGGGCCAGCCAGUGACCUAAAAGCCCUGGUAGGAAUUGCCAGUUAGCACCAAGCUAAAAACCUAGCCUAAUCAUGGACCAGCCAGGCAGAACCAAUAAAGGUGCCAUUUGUGAUCAUAUCUGAUCCUCUGAAAGCAUGUAAUAUAUCUGACCCAGGGAUUUGGGGAUGAAAAGAACUCUUAGCAGAAUAUACAUUUCCUAUUUAUUGUUACCUUUUAUUUUGACAGUAAAACUAGAGGAGAGUAAGUUGUUGAGUAGAUUGCUCUUAAAAGAACACAACCAACAGUUGAAACUUGAAUUAGGAAAUUAGGGGCAUAACCUGAAACAUACCAGUAUUACCUAAUAUCCCACAUAGGUCCAUAGAUUACAAGCCCUUUCUUUUUUCCAUUUUAUUUCCUCCUGGGAAAACUUAAAUCCAUUAUUUUAUUACUCUGUGUAUCAAGUCACACUACCUCAUAAUUUUCUCAAAUUCACUUUUCUCUGAGCUUUAAAGGGGAGGUCUACCAUUCCAAUAUUCCAUGGGGUGACAGAUAGGUUUAUAAUUUCCCAAUCCAUGUUUUUCCCCCAUAUAAUUGAGACUGAGUGCAAAUCUGUCUCCAUCUUGAAGGUAUUUCAAGGACCAGAAAUUCUACAACAAUGUUGAUGUUUCCCUCAAGGGCCCGAAAUUUCAGGUUUUAAAGUCCCAUUCAUCUUCAGUGAUUACAGGAUGCAGUAGGAGAAUAUGUAGGGUCUUCUAUUUUUAUACUAAGACUUUUAUUGGACUGAAUUUCAGUCACACAUUCCUGUGUUUGACAACCAUAACCUCUUCUCUUUUCUGAUUCUAUGGAAAUUACACCCAAAGUUCUGGGGCUUCUAGAAAAUGUGGCUGUAAGAAUUUGCCUUCCUUUGCAACUCUGGUCCGUUUGUAAGCCAUAGCACAUCCAUCUGAAUUCAGCUGCCUCAGGGAAAAGGAGCCAUUUACUUCUGUCCCUUGACCCUUUGGUUGUGUCAGGUGACAGGAAGUAUUGUCACAUCACUGUCCUGGAGGCAGAUUGGACCUGCAAGACUUGAACCUGAAAAAGCCUUUGGAAUUGUUUUAUUGAAAUGUGAUUUUUCCACCUCACACUGACUGAUUCCACAUCCCAGAUACGCAAUUACCCAUUUGUCACAAACGGCUCCAGUAUCUCAGUUGUAAAAAUCCAGUUCAGUGGUGUUUCUUUUUCUAUUUUUACACUAAGUACUCCUCUUGGCAAUGUAUGACAUUAACUAUUGAUGGAGUCCUUCUAGACUUGGAGAAAGAAAGGUUUUCAAGAGAAUAACCCAGAGGGGUGAGGGGAAGAAUCACUAGCCAAGUACUGAUCAGAAUCUGGUGCUCAGACCUGCCCCAGAUGCACACUGGUUGUGACUAGGUUUUCUUGUUGUUAAACCCUCAGCAUUACUGACAUUUUGGGUGGGGUGAUUCUUUGUAGUGGGGGCUCUCCUGUGCAUGAGAAGAUGUUUAGUAGCAUCUGUGGCAUCUGCCCACAAGAAGCACCCUACACUAUUCCACCCUGGGACAACAAAAAUAUCCCCAGACAUCACCCUGGGCUGCCAAAUCAUCUUUUGUUGAGAACCACCUUCUUAAAUAUUAGUUUCUUCAUCUGUAAAGUGAAAGUGAAGAGCUGCUGUUGAUUUAAGGUGGAAUGAUGCAUUCAAAAGAGUAAUGUGCUACAUGAAUAUAAGGUAUGAUUAUUUAAUAGACACAUUUCUUUGUUCACACAUUGAAUUUUAGAUAUCUUCACAGGUAACAGAUUUGGCCAGUCUCAGCUGACCAAUGAAGUUGUAUAGCAGAAUUCCAUCCUCUUUACAGCUGCAAAAUCAAGAGUUAAGAAUUUAUAGAUGCAUUGAUGCUUUAACCCUCUGCAUAACCAAAGAAAAGAUUCAAGCACCAAAUGGGGAUUUGAUCAAUUAGGUUUAUUCUAACUUUGAAGAUCUUUGAAAAUAAAGAAAUUAGAGUGGGAUUAAUACUCCUAGAAUAAUAAACAUCCAUUCCCUAGAAUCAUAAUAACUCCCAGUUAUUAGAGUAAAAUUAAUUUCCUUUUAAAGUUACUGGUUUUCUGGAGAACUCAUAUGCUAUAGACAGGUCCUCAGAAGCAAACUGCUCAGAAUGGAGCUGUAGACCUCUGGUUGUUCUGGAGAUGUUAAUUCUCCACCUUUGCAAAGAGUUAAGGAGGUGAGAAGGCAUAGCAGGGAAGCAGACAGCAUAGAGGAAGGAUGGCCAAGGUGCUCAAAUCAAGAGCAAAACCUAUUGCUUGGUAUAGUUAAAUGGAUGAAAGAAAUCUGAAAUCUGAAGGCAAGUCUGUGCAUAGUAGCAGCAGGUACCACACGAAGGCAGGAAUUCCUGUUCUGGAGGGAACUUUGAGUAUACUGACUCCAGGUCUUCAUACAUUUUGCUGGGAUCUGUAACUUCUAACACUGCUAUGAAAUCUUAGAAGUUAGAAAAUUUUCCUGGAGUGCUCUGUAGUCAUUCAUCUUAAAAAUAAUAGGAAUUAAAAAAAAAUCUCCAUGCUAAAAGAGGUGCUUUGCACUCAAUUCUGUUCUUUUAUUAAUUCUUCACAUACAGAGAGAAAGACUGCUAAUACAGUUGUUAGAUGUCUUUGUUUCUUUGUUGCAAGUCAUGUUUGCAUUAUGUCAAGGUUAUAAAAGAAUCAGCAUCAAUCAACAAAACAAGUUAAGAGAAAAGAUGAGAAAGGUUUAAAAAUGAGUAUCUUAUUGCUGGUAGUGAUGAUUGAAGUAGAACAAAACAAGUUGUUGCAUUGGAAAGCUGAGGUCAUGGAAGGGAAGGAAAUCAGCUGGAAAAGGGGGCCUGGAUUUGAGUUUUCUUAACUCCUCUAAAUGGGAUAUUAGCACAUAAAUCCAGAGAGGUGGGGCAAUGAUGCAAAGACUAGAAACUCAAAUUAUUAUUUUCCCCCUCAUUUUAAUCCUUUAUCCAUCUUCUCAAGUGAUAUUUACUUCAGCUGAAUGUAGUAUCUAUAGUAAAUGCACACUUGUACCACAUAUAUUUAAACAACUUCAGUUUUCUUUUAAUUGACAACAUUGGAGCAUUGGAG